This is a small nucleolar RNA of Nannospalax galili (Upper Galilee mountains blind mole rat), 96 nucleotides long. Lineage: Eukaryota; Metazoa; Chordata; Mammalia; Rodentia; Spalacidae. The record is from Ensembl.
GAUAAAGCCGUCUAAUGAUGAGUUUCAUAGGGCAGUUUCCAAGAUGAAAAUUUAAUUCAUCAUUGAUCAUCCUAUUAUUAAAAAUAAUAAUAAUAA